GAGAACCUUUAUUUUAAAGUCAAAUUAUAAAUUCUGAGUGACGUUUAAGGGUGUCAGCAGCAAAAUUCUUAAAGAAUAAUAGUAGGUCACCUGAGCUGUGUGGUAGCAGUAGCACCCCAUUUCACAUUGUAAUAUUUCUGAGCAGCAUAUGCAGCAUAAGCGUGUGAUGAAGAUUGAAGACCAGGUCAAACGUGGAGACACCUGAGGUAAGUUGCUAUCAUAGUGAGGUAUUCGAACAUUAGAUAUAAACAUUCACUAGAAACUAAGACGUUGUUUCUCUACUGGCUUCAGGUCCAUGAAGUUCACUUGUAGAAAAGGAUGUGUCCCUUUCCUCAGAAUUUUAGGGUUAGGACUGUUUCCUAGGUUUUAAAAUUAUAGGUCUGUAUUCUUGUUUCCACCUCAUAUCAUUUUUUUAAAAAAAUUACUUCUGCUUAUUCACAUAAUUAGAAGUUUGCUGCCUUUCUCAGUCUCUCUUAUAAAUGUCCUUCCAGGUUGCUUGGAGUACUUCUGUACUCACUGGUGAAGUGACUGGAUGAAGCCUAUGUUUUCCCUGGGGAACUGUACCUGGUGAUGAGUGUAUCACGUGUGCAGCCUGAGAAUUUCUAAUGGAUGUUUCUGUAGAUUCUGACAAAAGGAGCAAGUCCUACGCUGCAAAUUCCAGAAAAAAGUUAAAUGCUUGCCAACUGAUAUUUAAAUGCUGUGGAUAAGUUUCUGACUCACAAAAUCAAAAUUCCCAUUAACUGCUGUGGGGUAGGAAAGAUGUUGCUCUG
RNAcentral lists this long non-coding RNA (770 nucleotides) under Anser brachyrhynchus (Pink-footed goose). Its description in RNAcentral is "lncRNA (ENSABRG00000010960.1)". Lineage: Eukaryota; Metazoa; Chordata; Aves; Anseriformes; Anatidae. The record is from RNAcentral.